This 305-nucleotide ribosomal RNA is filed under the name uncultured bacterium. RNAcentral's name for it is "bacterial SSU rRNA". It matches the Rfam family "Bacterial small subunit ribosomal RNA", at positions 335 to 638 of the family's 1533-position model. The record is from RNAcentral.
ACCCUACGGGAGGCAGCAGUGAGGAAUAUUGGUCAAUGGGCGCGAGCCUGAACCAGCCAAGUCGCGUGAGGGAAGACUGCCCUAUGGGUUGUAAACCUCUUUUAUAAAGGAAUAAAGUGAGGCACGUGUGCCUUUUUGUAUGUACUUUAUGAAUAAGGAUCGGCUAACUCCUUGCCAGCAGCCGCGGUAAUACGGAGGAUCCGAGCGUUAUCCGGAUUUAUUGGGUUUAAAGGGAGCGUAGAUGGGUUGUUAAGUCAGUUGUGAAAGUUUGCGGCUCAACCGUAAAAUUGUAAUUGAUACUGGAA